AGCUUUGUAUUCAUCGAAUGAUAUUGAAGUGCAAAUUCAAAGGCAGGACAUCGUUGGGUCCUUAAGGCUU
This 70-nucleotide transfer RNA is filed under the name Doru luteipes. RNAcentral describes it as "tRNA-Cys". Lineage: Eukaryota; Metazoa; Arthropoda; Insecta; Dermaptera; Forficulidae. The record is from RNAcentral.